UGGGCCGUAGUUUCCACUGGCCCUGGGGCCUUGAAGGAUUCCACUUUGGUUUUGAGAAGUGAGAAGUUCGCUUUUGAGAAGUUCUUCACUGUGGUUUUCUGGGCU
Molecule: long non-coding RNA, 105 nt
Organism: Protopterus annectens (West African lungfish)
Lineage: Eukaryota; Metazoa; Chordata; Ceratodontiformes; Protopteridae
Exons: 3
Source: RefSeq, a predicted model, not a curated record